Molecule: non-coding RNA, 68 nt
Organism: Rattus norvegicus (Norway rat)
Lineage: Eukaryota; Metazoa; Chordata; Mammalia; Rodentia; Muridae
Source: Rfam
GGGGAUUUGGCUCAGUGGUAGAGCGCUUGCCUAGGAAGCGCAAGGUCCUGGGUUCAAUCCCAGCCCCG